AAAGAAAGUAAGCAAGGGCGCAUGGCGGAUGCCUUGGCUCUCGGAGGCGAUGAAGGACGUGAUAAGCUGCGAUAAGCUUCGGGUAGGUGCAAAUAACCUUUGAUCCGAAGAUUUCCGAAUGGGACAACCCGUCAUUCUGAAGGAAUGACAUCUUGCAUAGCAAGAGGCUAACGCAGGGAACUGAAACAUCUUAGUACCUGCAGGAAAAGAAAAUAAUAAUGAUUCCCCUAGUAGUGGCGAGCGAACGGGGAUUAGCCCAAACCAAUGUUGUUACGGCAAUAUUGGGGUUGUAGGACCACGAUGUCGCAAGAAAUUUAGUGAGAAGAAUUCUUUGGAAAAUGAAACCAUAGACGGUGAUAGUCCGGUAUUCGAAGCUAAACGAAGCGUAGUGGUAUCCUGAGUAGCGCGGGACACGAGGAAUCUUGCGUGAAUCUGCCGGGACCAUCCGGUAAGGCUAAAUACUCCCGAGAGACCGAUAGCGAACCAGUACUGUGAAGGAAAGGUGAAAAGCACUUCGAAUAGAAGAGUGAAAUAGUCCCUGAAACCGUGCGCCUACAAGCGGUCGGAGCAGCGUAAGUUGUGACGGCGUGCCUUUUGCAUAAUGAACCUACGAGUUACUUUUUCCGGCAAGGUUAAGCAUUUCAAAAUGUGUAGCCGAAGCGAAAGCGAGUCUGAACAGGGCGAUUAGUCGGAAGGAGUAGACGCGAAACCAAGUGAUCUACCCUUGGUCAGGUUGAAGGUUAGGUAACACUAACUGGAGGACCGAACCGAUAAGCGUUGAAAAGCUUCCGGAUGAACUGAGGGUGGGGGUGAAAGGCUAAUCAAACUUGGAGAUAGCUCGUACUCCCCGAAAUGCAUUUAGGUGCAGCCUUGGGAAUUACUACUGUGAGGUAGAGCGACUGAUAAGAUGCGAGGGCUUCACCGCCUAUCAAGUCUUGAUAAACUCCGAAUGCGCAGUAGUUCGAUCCCAGGAGUGAGGGCAUGGGUGCUAAGGUCCAUGUCCUAAAGGAGAAGAAUCCGGACCAUCAGCUAAGGUCCCGAAAUAAUUGCUAAGUUGAACUAACGAAGUCAGAUUGCUAAGACAGCUAGGAUGUUGGCUUGGAAGCAGCCAUUCAUUUAAAGAGUGCGUAACAGCUCACUAGUCGAGGAGUUUGGCGUGGAUAAUAAUCGGGCAUCAAGCAAUUUACCGAAGCUAUGGGAU
RNAcentral lists this ribosomal RNA (1201 nucleotides) under Bacteroides xylanisolvens. RNAcentral describes it as "partial 23S ribosomal RNA". It matches the Rfam family "Bacterial large subunit ribosomal RNA", at positions 1 to 1208 of the family's 2925-position model. Lineage: Bacteria; Pseudomonadati; Bacteroidota; Bacteroidia; Bacteroidales; Bacteroidaceae. The record is from RNAcentral.